UACGUAGGGUGCAAGCGUUAAUCGGAAUUACUGGGCGUAAAGCGUGCGCAGGCGGUUGUGCAAGACAGAUGUGAAAUCCCCGGGCUCAACCUGGGAACUGCAUUUGUGACUGCACGGCUAGAGCGCGGCAGAGGGGGAUGGAAUUCCGCGUGUAGCAGUGAAAUGCGUAGAUAUGCGGAGGAACACCGAUGGCGAAGGCAAUCCCCUGGGCCUGCACUGACGCUCAUGCACGAAAGCGUGGGGAGCAAACAGG
RNAcentral lists this ribosomal RNA (253 nucleotides) under uncultured bacterium. Its description in RNAcentral is "partial 16S ribosomal RNA". It matches the Rfam family "Bacterial small subunit ribosomal RNA", at positions 524 to 776 of the family's 1533-position model. The record is from RNAcentral.